GUACACUCCUGCGGGAGGCAGCAGUGGGGAAUAUUGGACAAUGGGCGCAAGCCUGAUCCAGCCAUGCCGCGUGAGUGAUGAAGGCCCUAGGGUUGUAAAGCUCUUUCACCGGUGAAGAUAAUGACGGUAACCGGAGAAGAAGCCCCGGCGAACUUCGUGCCAGCAGCCGCGGUAAUACGAAGGGGGCUAGCGUUGUUCGGAUUUACUGGGCGUAAAGCGCACGUAGGCGGACUAUUAAGUCAGGGGUGAAAUCCCGGGGCUCAACCCCGGAACUGCCUUUGAUACUGGUAGUCUUGAGUUCGAGAGAGGUGAGUGGAAUUCCGAGUGUAGAGGUGAAAUUCGUAGAUAUUCGGAGGAACACCAGUGGCGAAGGCGGCUCACUGGCUCGAUACUGACGCUGAGGUGCGAAAGCGUGGGGAGCAAACAGGAUUAGAUACCCCAGUAGUCCCAUG
This 452-nucleotide ribosomal RNA is filed under the name uncultured organism. RNAcentral's name for it is "partial 16S ribosomal RNA". It matches the Rfam family "Bacterial small subunit ribosomal RNA", at positions 331 to 799 of the family's 1533-position model. The record is from RNAcentral.